CAGGAAAUGUACAGAUGCUUCUGUUUAGCACAGCUCUGCAGAGCUCACCAAAUUGUGCAUCAGCUACAGGCAGCAGGAGAUCACUCAGUUAUUUUUUCAGUGUUUUUCCAUAUGUCUCAGAAAGAGGCUGAUAAUAUUUUGCAGUGUCCUUAGAGAAUUCAUCUCUGAGGUCUAGGUAUCUCCUCUGGUACCACAAAGGAAAUACUGUAUUAUUGGGUCCCAGCAGUGCAGAGAGCAGUCAGCAUCCCAUCAUUUCCUGUUGCUGUCACUUGCUGCAGAGAAGCGGCGCUGACAGGUUACUGUAGAGAGCAGAGAGCUGUUGGAGGUUAACGCGACAGAGAGAGCAGAGUGUUGUGGCAGUGCGUCUGUCAAGGAACAACCAAAGAACCCAAGAUGCAAAAAGGACUGUAACAAGGAAGAAGCCCCUGAGGUGACCAGAGCCUGACAAAGGAAGCAGACUGAUGAAAGGCUCAAGGACUCUGCUUUGCAUUCUGCUCUCAUCCCGAGAAUCCUACAGAGACUAGCUGUGAAGGAUCCUGGGAAGAUGCGCCCUGUUUCUGAAUGAAGAGCAGCUCUUUCCAUUUACAGCCACUUCAGUUCGUUUCCCUACAUAAGCACAAAAAUAACCAUUUUGGAGGGGGAGGGGGAGCAAAAAAAAGCUCCCAGAAUUAUCUCAGGGAAAUAAAGCCAGGUGCCCAUCUUUGCAUUAUAUCCAAAUGAGAUGCAGCUGUUUAAAUACUUCCCAGACCUAUCAGUCCUGCAAAGAAUCUGUUCUGCUGUGGAUCAGGGUGGCUCACUUGAGGGGAAUGAGCAAUAACAUUUAUGAGACACAGAUACUCACAUAUUUGCAUUUAAAAUGGAUCCUCAGCUUGAAAACUCUUGAUUUUACUCAUGCUGCUGCCUCAGCUGGAGAAAGAAUCAUUCUCCUCAAGGCUUGA
Molecule: long non-coding RNA, 938 nt
Filed under: Zonotrichia albicollis (white-throated sparrow)
Lineage: Eukaryota; Metazoa; Chordata; Aves; Passeriformes; Passerellidae
Description: lncRNA (ENSZALG00000012749.1)
Source: RNAcentral